Molecule: ribosomal RNA, 103 nt
Filed under: Agapetes lobbii
Lineage: Eukaryota; Viridiplantae; Streptophyta; Magnoliopsida; Ericales; Ericaceae
Description: partial 5.8S ribosomal RNA
Rfam family: 5.8S ribosomal RNA
About the family: 5.8S ribosomal RNA (5.8S rRNA) is a component of the large subunit of the eukaryotic ribosome. It is transcribed by RNA polymerase I as part of the 45S precursor that also contains 18S and 28S rRNA. Functionally, it is thought that 5.8S rRNA may be involved in ribosome translocation.
Source: RNAcentral
GAUACUUGGUGUGAAUUGCAGAAUCCCGUGAACCAUCGAGUCUUUGAACGCAAGUUGCGCCUGAAGCCAUUAGGCUGAAGGCACGUCUGCCUGGGCGUCACGC